GAUGAACGCUGGCGGCGUGCCUAAUACAUGCAAGUCGAGCGAACAGACGAGGAGCUUGCUCCUCUGACGUUAGCGGCGGACGGGUGAGUAACACGUGGAUAACCUACCUAUAAGACUGGGAUAACUUCGGGAAACCGGAGCUAAUACCGGAUAAUAUAUUGAACCGCAUGGUUAAAUAGUUAAAGACGAUUUUGCUGUCACUUAUAGAUGGAUCCGCGCCGCAUUAGCUAGUUGGUAAGGUAACGGCUUACCAAGGCAACGAUGCGUAGCCGACCUGAGAGGGUGAUCGGCCACACUGGAACUGAGACACGGUCCAGACUCCGACGGGAAGCAGCAGUAGGGAAUCUUCCGCAAUGGGCGAAAGCUUGACGGAGCAACGCCGCGUGAGUGAUGAAGGUCUUCGGAUCGUAAAACUCUGUUAUUAGGGAAGAACAAAUGUGUAAGUAACUAUGCACGUCUUGACGGUACCUGAUCAGAAAGCCACGGCUAACUACGUG
RNAcentral lists this ribosomal RNA (497 nucleotides) under uncultured bacterium. RNAcentral describes it as "partial 16S ribosomal RNA". It matches the Rfam family "Bacterial small subunit ribosomal RNA", at positions 28 to 507 of the family's 1533-position model. The record is from RNAcentral.